AGCCUUGCCUUCGCUGCCGUUGGGGCUGGAAGUUCUCGCCAGGUCCGUGCCGGGCGAGAGAGAUGCUGCCCGGCCGGCCUCGGCUUUGAGGCGAGAGAAGUGUCUCAGACCCAUUUCGCCUUGCUGACGGCGUCGAGCCCUGGCCAGACAUGUCCACAGUGUUCUCCUUCGGGUCCGGGACUCUGGGCUCCACCACCGUGGCCGCCGGCGGGACCAGCACAGGCGGCGGUUUCUCUUUCGGAACGGGAGCAUCUAGCAACCCUUCUGUGGGGCUCAAUUUUGGAAAUCUUGGAAGUACUUCAACUCCAGCAACUACAUCUGCUCCUUCAAGUGGUUUUGGAACCGGGCUCUUUGGAUCUAAACCUGCCACUGGGUUCACUCUAGGAGGAACAAAUACAGGUGAGGAGGAUCUGAUCACAUUGUCAGAGAGUAGGCUUGGGAUAUUCUUUCCUAAAUUGUGUCCUGUAUCUCUCUUUACAAGGAUCAUCACUGGUAGUAGACCUUAAAAAAUGGUAAAUGCUAAGAUGAAAAGAAAUGCAAGGAAUUGGAAUUAAGGGCUAGUGAUAGGCCCAAUCAUUGACUGUCAUC
RNAcentral lists this small RNA (588 nucleotides) under Pan troglodytes (chimpanzee). RNAcentral describes it as "retained intron". Lineage: Eukaryota; Metazoa; Chordata; Mammalia; Primates; Hominidae. The record is from RNAcentral.